Molecule: ribosomal RNA, 253 nt
Filed under: uncultured bacterium
Lineage: Bacteria
Description: partial 16S ribosomal RNA
Rfam family: Bacterial small subunit ribosomal RNA
Source: RNAcentral
UACGUAGGGUGCGAGCGUUAAUCGGAAUUAUUGGGCGUAAAGAGCUUGUAGGCGGUUUGUCGCGUCUGCUGUGAAAUCUCAAGGCUCAACCUUGAGCUUGCAGUGGGUACGGGCAGACUAGAGUGUGGUAGGGGAGACUGGAAUUCCUGGUGUAGCGGUGAAAUGCGCAGAUAUCAGGAGGAACACCGAUGGCGAAGGCAGGUCUCUGGGCCACUACUGACGCUGAGAAGCGAAAGCAUGGGGAGCGAACAGG